GUGGGGAAUAUUGGACAAUGGGCGAAAGCCUGAUCCAGCCAUGCCGCGUGUGUGAAGAAGGUCUUCGGAUUGUAAAGCACUUUAAGUUGGGAGGAAGGGCAGUAAGUUAAUACCUUGCUGUUUUGACGUUACCGACAGAAUAAGCACCGGCUAACUUCGUGCCAGCAGCCGCGGUAAUACGAAGGGUGCAAGCGUUAAUCGGAAUUACUGGGCGUAAAGCGCGCGUAGGUGGUUUUGUAAGUUGGAGGUGAAAUCCCCGGGCUCAACCUGGGAACUGCCUCCAAAACUGCAUGACUAGAGUACGGUAGAUGGUAGUGGAAUUUCCUGUGUAGCGGUGAAAUGCGUAGAUAUAGGAAGGAACACCAGUGGCGAAGGCGACUACCUGGACUGAUACUGACACUGAGGUGCGAAAGCGUGGGGAGCAAACAGGAUUAGAAACCCCAGUAGUCC
Molecule: ribosomal RNA, 450 nt
Filed under: uncultured bacterium
Lineage: Bacteria
Description: partial 16S ribosomal RNA
Rfam family: Bacterial small subunit ribosomal RNA
Source: RNAcentral